GGGAGCAUUAGCACUCCGACCGUUUCCUGUAAUCAGCUUGAAUGAUCCAGCACGCAAGCUUGGAAAUUAAAUUUUAGAAGUGAUUUUUCCAUCCUAGAAACUGUUUCAAUUCCAGCUUCUUGCAGAUGAACCUCUGAUACGCGGCAAAUUUACAAGCCCUGGGACUGAUGUAAUGAGUCUGCACAAUGGGAACCUCGCCAUGAGACAAAGAGGCCACCUGGAGGCUGGGCAAAGCGAGAGCGACGAACCUGCCCCGAGCACCUGCGGCACGCUGGACAUUAGGAGUGGAGAUCAGGACACAGACACACACACAGGGAAGACCCUGUGAAAACACAGGGAGAACACAUGUGUAAGCCAAGGAGAGAGGCUCAGAGGAAACCAGUCCUACUGACACCGUGAUCUCGGACUUCCAGCCUCCAGAACUGUGAGAAGAUGAAAUUGCUGGCUUCCUUUUCUUGAGGAAAGUCAGACUUACAAAGGAAUGAAAACUGACUACCAGGAGGCUUCCCACCCCCAACCAUAGAAGCCAGAAAGGAGCAGUCCCUUCAAAAUGCUGAGAAGAAGUGCACUAAACAGCCCCUUCUGUACCACAGGCACAGAGCAGAUAGGAAGCUGUGAAUUCCUGGGGACAUUUUUGUUUUACUGCCCCAAAGGAGAUAAUAGUGACCACCUAACAGAAGAGAAAGAAUCAGAGGGUCUGGAUCUUACCUGGAUC
This is a long non-coding RNA of Manis javanica (Malayan pangolin), 715 nucleotides long. RefSeq lists it as uncharacterized. NCBI's taxonomy places the organism in Eukaryota, Metazoa, Chordata, Mammalia, Pholidota, Manidae. The record is from RefSeq and is a predicted model, not a curated record.